AGUGAACGCUGGCGGUAGGCCUAACACAUGCAAGUCGAACGGCAGCACAGAGGAGCUUGCUCCUUGGGUGGCGAGUGGCGGACGGGUGAGGAAUACAUCGGAAUCUACUCUGUCGUGGGGGAUAACGUAGGGAAACUUACGCUAAUACCGCAUACGACCUACGGGUGAAAGCAGGGGACCUUCGGGCCUUGCGCGAUUGAAUGAGCCGAUGUCGGAUUAGCUAGUUGGCGGGGUAAAGGCCCACCAAGGCGACGAUCCGUAGCUGGUCUGAGAGGAUGAUCCGCAACACUGGAACUGGGGCACGGACCAGACUCCUACGGGAGGCAGCAGUGGGGAAUAUUGGACAAUGGUCGCAAGCCUGAUCCAGCCAUACCGCGUGGGUGAAGAAGGCCUUCGGGUUGUAAAGCCCUUUUGUUGGGAAAGAAAUCCAGCUGGCUAAUACCCGGUUGGGAUGACGGUACCCAAAGAAUAAGCACCGGCUAACUUCGUGCCAGCCGCCGCGGUAA
RNAcentral lists this ribosomal RNA (506 nucleotides) under uncultured bacterium. RNAcentral describes it as "partial 16S ribosomal RNA". It matches the Rfam family "Bacterial small subunit ribosomal RNA", at positions 29 to 523 of the family's 1533-position model. The record is from RNAcentral.